AUGAAAACAAUGUCCGCUCUAGCUCGUUGACAUUCAAUUGAAAGAACUGGCAAACAAAGGUAACAAAUAACUUUGAUACUCACGUAAUAUUCUCCAUGCAAAAUUUCACAAGAAAGCCACCACGCAGCAUCACAGAUCACAAAAGACGAAAUUCCCAAGGUGAUAUUGAACGCCACUUUAACUUCUACACUGAGGAGAAGGCACUCAAGACAGAUAUCCGUUCAUGUUGUCUGCAACUGAUUCUAGACGUUUCAGCACCUGGGCAUGCUGGACUGGACAGUGGAUUGCUGAAAGGGAAACACCCAUUUGGUAAGGUUUCGAUGGCCAUUGAUAAUUGGAGAGAAGCAUUGGAAUGCAACAGCUUGUCUGGCUUCGUCUGGACCUAAGUUACACCAAACAGAACACGGGAUCUAAACAAAUUUAAAUUCAGAUUUUUUAGCUCAUAAUUUCAGCUGAAGUUUUCGUGUGACCUAGGUGCUUGUGACAAUAGAAGUCAAGAUAAUAAUGCAAGCUAUGUCUUCCAAAGCAAAAUAGUUUCUGUCAUUUGAUUUUUAUGAUAAUAUUUCAGGUUAACUUCCCCUGUCAAAUCAUGGUAAAUCUUCAAUAUAUUUAUGCCUUCCCCAGAUCUGGUUCUUUACUGCUAUCGCUUUUGCAGACAGCAGCAAAUGAUGCUGCCACUCAAGAGGUUUUGGUGACCUCCAUUUAGUUCUAAUUUAGGACAUGUAACAUUGAUAGAUUUGAGGUUAAUCCCUCACACCACUCUUAGUUGUUUGGAAACUGAUGAGAGAUUGCUCAUUGCUGGAAUUGAAGACUGAUUAAUUGUGUAGUUGUUAGAUAAGUUACAAGUGCAUAUCUGGGCUCCCUUGUUUUCUGCGGCCCCGUUUCCAUAACUAAUCACUAAUCAACGGCCGCCGGUGGUCAGUCACUCGCUGCGACAACUAGGAGGAAGGGAGUGCGCUGGUCGAACGGUGACUUGCAAGGCGGAUGAUCUAAUGAAAACUGUUGGAGGGUUAUGAAUCUAAGCCGGAAAUCUACAAUGAUUAAUCGCUUCCAAGCAAAACUAGCUUCCCAUUCUUCUCUCUUCAAGUCAAUCAAUAUUUCCUUCCUGAUUGAAUGCAUAUGCAAGUGAUAACACAUUAACAAGCAGACAAAUUUACGUUAGGCCUUGAUAUGUUUACUCAGGUCAGAUUUGUUGUUACAAAAUGUUACAUUGUUGGUACACAAAAAUGUUAUUUGUUAUUAUAAUUUCAUACCUACCUUACCAAUCAAUAUUCAAUAUCAAUAUACCUCAACAUGAAUAAAUAUAAAUUUCCCACGAA
Daphnia pulex (common water flea) is the source of this 1319-nucleotide long non-coding RNA. RefSeq lists it as uncharacterized. The record is from RefSeq and is a predicted model, not a curated record. NCBI's taxonomy places the organism in Eukaryota, Metazoa, Arthropoda, Branchiopoda, Diplostraca, Daphniidae. The transcript has 4 exons.